Molecule: non-coding RNA, 580 nt
Organism: Delphinapterus leucas (beluga whale)
Lineage: Eukaryota; Metazoa; Chordata; Mammalia; Artiodactyla; Monodontidae
Source: RefSeq, a predicted model, not a curated record
CCCUCUUCUCUGAUGCUCUAUCCUGAACAUUCUAGCCACCUGGGUCUCUGAGUCUCUCUAGUUCCUUAUUUCAUUCUCUCUUCAGGCUGUCAGCUGGGUUCCAGCCUGGUUUCUCCUCCUAGCACAGCAGCUUGGGAGCUCUCCAGAAAAGAUUUCCCAUGCGCUGAAUGGAGGAUGUGGAAAAUGAAACGUCAUGAGUAAUUCUGUCAACCCUCCCCCAAGACAUCAGUGGGCAAAGGAUUUCUGAACAACAGGGAAUAUCUAAUUAGUCCACAUCCUGUCAUGUCUGUUUUCUGAAGUACGGGUAAUAGAACCAUGGAGCACCAUGCUUGGCUCUAUGGUCUGAACAAGUAGCUGAGUAAACUGAGUCCACCAGGAAUCAAGUUCAUAGAUUCACUGAGGAUCUACCUUCUCUGGUCACUUUGUACCUGUGGUCCAGCUCCUUUUCCACUGUACACGUUCCAUGGUUUUCAUCAUUCACAUCUCUGUAGGUAAGUUUCUUGGAACGUGCUUGUUUCCAGUGUAUCUUUGCUUUGUCCAUAUCAUUGUGGCACGUUUUGGUUCAGUGUCCCACCUCAUU